This 618-nucleotide ribosomal RNA is filed under the name uncultured bacterium. Its description in RNAcentral is "bacterial SSU rRNA". The stretch from base 1 to 540 matches the Rfam family "Bacterial small subunit ribosomal RNA", at positions 338 to 873 of the family's 1533-position model. The record is from RNAcentral.
CCUACGGGAGGCAGCAGUGGGGAAUCUUGCGCAAUGCACGAAAGUGUGACGCAGCAACGCCGCGUGGAGGAAGAAGGCUCUCGGGUCGUAAACUCCUUUCAGUUGGGACGAAGCUUCGUCGGUUAAUAGCCGGCUGGAGUGACGGUACCUUCACAAGAAGCACCGGCUAACUACGUGCCAGCAGCCGCGGUAAUACGUAGGGUGCAAGCGUUGUCCGGAAUCAUUGGGCGUAAAGAGCGUGUAGGCGGCCCGAUUAGUCCGCUGUGAAAGUCCAGGGCUCAACCCUGGAAUGCCGGUGGAUACUGUCGGGCUCGAGUCCGGAAGAGGCGAGUGGAAUUCCUGGUGUAGCGGUGAAAUGCGCAGAUAUCAGGAAGAACACCAACGGCGAAGGCAGCUCGCUGGGACGGUACUGACGCUGAGACGCGAAAGCGUGGGGAGCAAACAGGAUUAGAUACCCUGGUAGUCCACGCCGUAAACGAUGGGUACUAGGUGUGGGGGUGUCGACUCCCCCGUGCCGAGCUAACGCAUUAGUACCCCGCCUGGAGUACGGCCGCAAGGCAAACUCAAGUAGUAGUAGACGCGUGACGAGUCGACGACGGACACGACGGAGGGAGGAGG